This 469-nucleotide ribosomal RNA is filed under the name uncultured bacterium. Its description in RNAcentral is "partial 16S ribosomal RNA". It matches the Rfam family "Bacterial small subunit ribosomal RNA", at positions 29 to 523 of the family's 1533-position model. The record is from RNAcentral.
AACGAACGCUGGCGGCAUGCCUAACACAUGCAAGUCGAACGCCAUGGCUUCGGCCAUGGAGUGGCGCACGGGUGAGUAACGCGUGGGAACCUGCCCAGCAGUAUGGGACAACCGCGGGAAACUGCGGCUAAUACCGUAUACGCCCGUCUUUGGGAGACCAGGGGCGGGGAAAUAUUGAUCGCUGUUGGAGGGGCCCGCGUCGGAUUAGGUAGUUGGUGGGGUAAAGGCCUACCAAGCCUGCGAUCCGUAGCUGGUCUGAGAGGAUGAUCAGCCACACUGGGACUGAGACACGGCGCAGAAUCCUACGGGAGGCAGCAGUGGGGAAUAUUGGACAAUGGGCGCAAGCCUGAUCCAGCAAUGCCGCGUGAGUGAUGAAGGCCUUAGGGUUGUAAAGCUCUUUCACACGCGACGAUGAUGACGGUAGCGUGAGAAGAAGCCCCGGCUAACUCCGUGCCAGCAGCCGCGGUAA